RNAcentral lists this ribosomal RNA (625 nucleotides) under uncultured fungus. RNAcentral describes it as "eukaryotic LSU rRNA". It matches the Rfam family "Eukaryotic large subunit ribosomal RNA", at positions 24 to 664 of the family's 3401-position model. The record is from RNAcentral. Lineage: Eukaryota; Fungi.
CCCGCUGAACUUAAGCAUAUCAAUAAGCGGAGGAAAAGAAACCAACAGGGAUUGCCUCAGUAACGGCGAGUGAAGCGGCAACAGCUCAAAUUUGAAAUCUGGCUCCUUUCGGCGCCCGAGUUGUAAUUUGUAGAGGAUGCUUCGGGUGAAGCUCCGGUCCAAGUCCCUUGGAACAGGACGUCAGAGAGGGUGAGAACCCCGUGUCCGACCGGCUGCGCUCCCCAUGUGAAGCCCCUUCGACGAGUCGAGUUGUUUGGGAAUGCAGCUCUAAAUUGGUGGUAAAUUCCAUCUAAAGCUAAAUACCGGCCAGAGACCGAUAGCGCACAAGUAGAGUGAUCGAAAGAUGAAAAGCACUUUGAAAAGAGAGUCAAAAAGUACGUGAAAUUGUUGAAAGGGAAGCGCUUGCGGCCAGACUUGCCCGCGGAUGUUCAGCCCGUCUUUUGGCGGGUGCAUUCUUCCGCGGUCAGGCCAGCAUCGGUUUGGGCGGUCGGACAAAGGCCCUGGGAACGUAGCCCCUCUCGGGGGGUGUUAUAGCCUGGAGUGCAAUGCGGCCAGCCCGGACCGAGGAUCGCGCUCUGCUAGGAUGCUGGCGUAAUGGCCGUAAGCGGCCCGUCUUGAAACACGG